GGAGAGGUGGCUGAGUGGUCGAAAGCGCUCCCCUGCUAAGGGAGUGAGUCCUAACGGGCUCCGAGGGUUCGAAUCCCUCCCUCUCCGCCA
This 90-nucleotide transfer RNA is filed under the name Natronospira proteinivora. RNAcentral describes it as "tRNA-Ser". It matches the Rfam family "tRNA". From Rfam's summary of the family: Transfer RNA (tRNA) molecules are approximately 80 nucleotides in length. Lineage: Bacteria; Pseudomonadati; Pseudomonadota; Gammaproteobacteria; Natronospirales; Natronospiraceae. The record is from RNAcentral. RNAcentral also lists the same sequence under 2 other names.